RNAcentral lists this unclassified non-coding RNA (338 nucleotides) under soil metagenome. RNAcentral describes it as "partial contains 5.8S ribosomal RNA, internal transcribed spacer 2, and large subunit ribosomal RNA". The stretch from base 1 to 120 matches the Rfam family "5.8S ribosomal RNA", at positions 35 to 154 of the family's 154-position model. The record is from RNAcentral.
GAUGAAGAACGUAGCGAAAUGCGAUAAGUAAUGCGAAUUGCAGAAUUCCGUGAGUCAUCGAAUCUUUGAACGCACAUUGCGCCCUCUGGUAUUCCGGAGGGCAUGCCUGUCUGAGCGUCAUUGUCAACCCUCAAGCUCAGCUUGCUGUUGGGUCCCCGUCGUUGCUUUAACGGCGGACCCGAAAGGUAAUGGCAGAGUCCGUGAGACCCUAGACGCAGCGAGCUUCUAGCACGCGUCUGGACGUUUUUCGGGCUCGGUCUUAACUAGAUGAUAACUUCCGAUUGACCUCAGAUCAGGUAGGGAUACCCGCUGAACUUAAGCAUAUAAUAAGCGGAGGA